Long non-coding RNA from Varroa destructor (honeybee mite), 1240 nucleotides. RefSeq lists it as uncharacterized. The record is from RefSeq and is a predicted model, not a curated record. Lineage: Eukaryota; Metazoa; Arthropoda; Arachnida; Mesostigmata; Varroidae.
GAAACUGAAAGCAGUAAGAUCAUAAAAAGCCAGGGUUUCGUGAGUUAGCGAAUAAGUACAUUAUUCAGUUUAAAAAAUAUUUCCACACUAUAUUUUUUCCAACGAAGGGGUUUAUGCGGAGCUGACAACACAAAUCUCAUUGACUACUUGUCUCGAAUAUGAUAAUUUUUGCAUACUAAGGGUAUUAUGGAGCCAGAGGAGGAUUCCAGCUGUCCGAGUUACCAUCGAUCGGUUAAGGGUCACUGGUGCGGGUGCAACGACGGGCUCUGUAAUGUAUGCUUGCCCUUGUCCGCUGGCAGAGGAAAUUUUCUGUCGUUCAAUAUCUAACUUACAAUAACGGGAAAAGGGCCUUCAGCCUGGUCGUCACCGAAGUGCUUCGCUCCGAAUAUUUACCACGAUAAGGAGCAGUGUGUUAUCGUCGUCCCGUCGUGCACUUCCUUCAACUAAAUCCCAGGGAAAAACCUGCUGAGGUGCCCUAUCAUUAUUAACAGCGACUGGCAUUGCGGAACGUGCUUGAACACUAGUCGCGAGGCUACAGUGUCUUGGAUUGCGUACGAACAGCGCAGCACUCGUGAUGAUUCGGACAGAAGAAGGCACCAACCGCCUUCGAUGCCUUCACUUGAACAAGUUUGGGAAACUGGGCAGGGGAAGUGACAGAUCGUAUUCAGCCUGUAGCCCAGGAAGACUAAAGCUUUUUUCUGCCUUUUCUCAGCAUAAAAUUUCAAUAAUCCGAUCAAUAUUAAUUUCACUUCAUUACUUUGGCUAUUUCGAUUGCCCUGUCGCCUCUUCUGGCGCUGACUGGCUUCGUGCUUGAUGACCUCACCAAAGCGUUGUUGCUACGUUUCAAAUUGUUUGUCUGUUGGUGGGACCAUAGCUGACCCUACCAACAGACGCGCAUAAAGAACGCUGCGAAAUAUUACAGAUUCAUUACGAAAUUACCACUCAUGGGCAUCUGCGUUGGAACAGUUAUAGAGAACUGUUAGUUUAACUAAUGUCGCCUGAUCUGCUUGUGACCGUGACGUAAAGAGCUGCUUGAUGGCGUUCGUUGGUUCUUUAAGAAAGAUUCGGUUUGACACAUCAUUAAGAAGAUUUGAAAAAUGAUUGCAGGCAGACGCGACGCUUGCAAACCCCUGGCUUACUAAAGUUUUUCCAAUGUGCUAAGUUAACUUCCGUUCACCACAUUAGUCAAUGCAUUAAAAAGUAUGCUAUGAACGUACUAGAGUAAUUAUUGCUAUAUCUU